This 1017-nucleotide long non-coding RNA is filed under the name Homo sapiens (human). RNAcentral describes it as "HSALNT0298969". The record is from RNAcentral. Lineage: Eukaryota; Metazoa; Chordata; Mammalia; Primates; Hominidae.
CCUGGCAAAUACUUUAUAAUUUCUGAAGCCAACAUAUAAACAAAUACAAUAAAGGUUACCUAAAUAAGUGCUUCUUUUUAGAAAUAGCUUGGAGAAAAUCAUUCAAUACCUCUUAUUUAUAGUUUUGUAAUGUUCUUUUUAAAUGCUUCUUACAAUAUCUUGAAAGUUAAGAUCUUUCAAGGAAAGAUUUUGAAAAGUGUCCUGGCCUGAAGUCUUCAUGUUUUAGAAAUCAAGUUUUUAAAACAUCUUAAAAAGCUGUGUCUUUAGUACUGGGUGCAAAAUUUAAACAUUGCCUGCAAUUCCGGAAUAACAAUAAUCCUAACGAUAGAUAUGAUUGAAAAAGUUGGCCAGGUUCAAAAGAGAAACUUCUUCGGGGGAAAAUGGCCAUCCCAUCGUUCUACAUCAACCGCCGGUUUUUCUUUAGGGUGAAGUGAGAGGCUUGAGGGCAGGGAAGCAUCCAAAGGGAAUUUCUCAGUUGGUAAUUUCCUAGCAGAGAGGUUGAGUUAGGUGCUUCUUCCUCGAUAUGGUUCGGAUCUGUGACCCAGUCCAAAUCUCAUGUUGAGUUGUAACCCCCAGGGUUGGAGGUGGGUGGGGUCUGGUGAGCGGUGAUUGGAUCGUGGGGACCGUUUCCCAUGGUCUAGCACCACCCUGCCUUGUUACUGACAUCCGGUUGUUUGAAGAUGCACGGCCCCCACACCCCCUUUCCUCUGCUUGCUACGGGUCUGGCCAUGUGAAGUGCCUGCUCCCGCUUCACCUUCCAUUACUUUCCUGAGGCCUUCCCAGCCAUGCUUCCUGGGCAGCCUGCAGAACUCCAGCACUUGAAGUUUCAAAAACGAGGAUCAAGCCGUUCCUGGGAGCAUCCUAUGAGACAUUUGGACACAGGUUUACUUGGAGUCUCGGAGAUAUGACGGAAUCUGGAAAAGUCAAAGGAAAAAAAGCCAAGGUUAAUGGAAUUCAAGAACAUAAAUUCAAGCAGGGACGAUAUAGUGAAAACACUACUAUCUCCAUAAGUCAGUC